Molossus molossus (Pallas's mastiff bat) is the source of this 605-nucleotide long non-coding RNA. RefSeq lists it as uncharacterized. The transcript has 3 exons. Lineage: Eukaryota; Metazoa; Chordata; Mammalia; Chiroptera; Molossidae. The record is from RefSeq and is a predicted model, not a curated record.
UUGCCGCGCGCCCGUCGCUACCCCCUCAUCUGGAGCCCGGGCCUCGCCGCGUGCCCGCUGCUGCCCUCUGGCAGAGGCCUGGGAGGAUGCGGGUGAGCAGCUUGCCUGCCUUUGAGUCCCAUCCGUGAUCACUUUUUCCCGUGAGCAAAGGAAAUUGAGGCUAAAGGACUCAGUGGCCGCCUCUGGAAUCCGUGUGUUGGAGUGCUGCUCAUGGAUUAACCAGACUGGAUGGUUUCAGGGUGUGCAGGGUGCGCUCGAUUCGGAUGCUUCUGGACCGUCGGAAGUACCUCCUUUGGAAACACCCAUCCCCUCUUUGGGCGUCAGAGGCCCAGAGGGAGGCGCAAGGAUGAGAGGAUGUGGUGGUCCACUCUGAUGGCUAUCUUGAGGGCUAGUGCCCAGAAGUGCAUCCUGGAUGAAUAUUUGUGAAAUGAACAAGUAAAGGCAAAGGUAUGGAUGAAGUCACUCAGGCAAAAUGUAUAAGGUAAACAGAGAAGAUAUCCAAUCUAUGCUUUCACUGGAGGUUCAAGCACCUCAACAUGACUUAUAAGCAGGGUGACUAUAAGUUCCACUUUGCUCAGAACAGACCCGGUUUACUCCUGUUAUCU